Non-coding RNA from Pelobates cultripes (western spadefoot toad), 313 nucleotides. NCBI's taxonomy places the organism in Eukaryota, Metazoa, Chordata, Amphibia, Anura, Pelobatidae. The record is from the annotation of a GenBank genome assembly.
AUAACAAUGUUUGGCAUUUAGUGAAUAUUCCCUAUUCUGCUCUGUGUCAGUGUGUAUCAGGGAUCCUUAGGAUAGGUGUCAAUCCAUAUCUGCCAAGUGACACUAUGUAGGGGAAACAGUCUCUAUUCUGCUCUGUGUCAGUGUGUAUCAAGAAUCCUUAGGACAGGUGUCAAUCCAUAUCUGCCAAGUGACACUAUGUAGGGGGAACAGUCCCUAUUCUGCUCUGUGUCAGUGUGUAUCAGGACAGGUGUCAAUCCAUAUCUGCCAAGUGACCCUAUGUAGGAGGAACAGUCUCUAUUCUGCUCUGUGUCAG